UAUAGACGUAUAUCAAUGUUUUUUUCCGAUCAGAGAAUGAGAAUAUUUUCUAACAUAUGAAGUCGAAGAUCACAUGUGUUACUUUAACGUUUUUGUUUCCAAUAGAGAUUGGUAAACAUUUACAGUGUAAAGGUUCAGUCAUUAGAUGCAUUUACGUAGGUUUUAUUCAUAUUUUAAAUUGAAUAAAUGUCAUUGUUUGCGUCCAAACUUAAACAAUCAAGUACAAAAAGAUAUAACUAAGGGAGAUAAUUUUCUACUUCCGGUUCAGAAGAUGUUACUUCCGGUAUUUUUUAAUAGUUUACUUGACCCUGCUUAACCGAACACUUUCCCAUAUAAGAGUUAUCUCCCCGAACACUGUUUUUCUUGUUAUCGCUUAAUAUUCGCAACCGUAUAAGAAACCGACAAAUUUAUUUUACCAAAUUGCUCGUUAUAUCCUCAGGAUGAAUUGAUCAAUUUUGACUGAAGCUAUCCGGAGACUCCAUACGAGAGUUAUUUCCCCUUUUUUAUUUGAUAUAAGUGAAAUGUAUUUCUAACUGGAAACCAUAAGUGAUAUAGGCCUAGGGUCUUUUGAUUUGAGGUCCACGGUUCCAAAAAAAAUAAAAAGAGAGGUCAAGGUCAUGUAAAAAAAAAUGAUUUUGGCUUGUUAUCUCUCAUUUUCAGAAAUCUUAUAAGAUAUCGACAAAAUAUUUUCAC
Molecule: long non-coding RNA, 693 nt
Filed under: Mytilus galloprovincialis (Mediterranean mussel)
Lineage: Eukaryota; Metazoa; Mollusca; Bivalvia; Mytilida; Mytilidae
Source: RNAcentral